GGUCAGCACUGACCUUGCCUUGCAGCUCCCUGGAACAGCUCACAGAGGGGAAAUGCAGGCCCCAAAAAUGUGCCCUACAAAAGAGGAGUGCUGGCCCCCAGAGCAAUUAGCCUAAUUAGUGAUGGCACAGAGCAGCUCCAGGGCCUGGCAGUGGGGACACCCAGGAACUGGAAUGCACCUCACAGCUCCUCUGCAGAAAAUACAAACUCUCUGUUCUGGUUCACAAUCCUGAGUGAUCAGCCCUUGAUUGGACCCUCAGCUCUUGCAAUGGGCUCAGACAGCUCUGACAGAGCCACCUUGGGCAGGGGUGGUGAAUAAAGAGGUUCAGAGAAGUUCUGGGAGCUGCUGGCUGGGUGCAGGAUUGAUCCUGGCCAAUCCCUAAACCACCUCUCACUUUGGGAAAGGCUGAACUGUUGUGGGAAGUUUCACCUGAGCAUCAGGAAGAACUUUCCUCUUAAGGCCAUUCCUCCUUGUCCCAUCACUCCAUGCUCUUGGAAAAAGUCUCUCUCCAUCUUUCUUGAGGAUCUGGGAGGGAAAAAGGAACAAACAACAAAGCAUUCCUGCUUCCACUGAAGAAUGACUUCUUAGCCUAAUAAAGUUCCCUAAGUGACAAUUUUAGAAAAAAUUGUUUAAAAUCCAUCACAAUUUCUUCUUCUUUGCUAGCAGGAGGUUGAUCAAGUGGACACCAAGCAGAACUUACUUCUAAGAACUUUCUUGAGUGGAUUUGUGUCAGGAUACCACAAAUGUCAUGGUCUGGAAUUUCAAGAACAAAAUCCCAGUGGAAGCAGCACAAGGAGCUUUCCUUGGCAGCAAGAACCAAGUGUUCAUUUUGGCCAGCAAAGGCACCGAUCCUGCUGCACAAGGGAGCAGGGAAUUGCUGUGGCAAAGGGAAGGGGCAAUGAAAGAGGAAUGGGAUUUUAAUGGAAUUGAAGACAGUUCUUGACCCUUCCAGGAAUUCUGACAGAGAAGCAGAAGCUGGGCAUUGAACAGGCGUAGAUCCAAUGAUGUUAUAGUCAGCAGAACCAAAGAUUUUUAAAGAGCCAUGGAUUGUACUGGUCCUUUUGGAUGGGAGGGGAACUUUUGGAUUAAAUUAACCUGUUUGUUUGUUUGCUUUCCCUAUUUUCUAAUGCAGGGAAACCAGAUUCCUCUAAAAGUUGGAAAUUGAGGGUGUAGAGACAUACUUGACAUUGUAGCACCUGAUUUAAAAGUUUUAAAGAAUCACAAUUCUUCAGAAUGCCUGAUUUUAACAGGAGCUGUUCUCCCACAAACGUAUUUAUCAUGGAAAGGGAUCCUAGGAGGACUUCUGGGAUACAACUUCCAAUAUGCACCUUCCCUAGGAUAACUAACACAGCCUUUUCCCUGGAGAAUUCUCCCCCAGAAACUCUUUGGUUUUGGGAAGGAUUUUCAGAGAAUCACUGAGGUUGGAAAAGAUCUCCAGGAUCACCAGCUGUGCCCCAGGCCCAGAGCACUCAGUGCCACCUGCAGGUGUUCCUGCAGGGAUGGGCACUCCAAACCUCCCUGGGCAGCCUCUUCCAAUGCUCAACAACCAUUUCCAUGAAAAAGAAAAUUCCUCCUGAUGUCCAGAAAUUCCUGCCUGACGUUUUAAACCAGAAGAGAAACUUUUCAUGCUCAGGAGCGUGAUCUUCACCGUGAGUGUGAACACCAAGUCAGGGAGAACUCAGGGAAAUUCACUUUUUUUUUUGGGAACAAGGCUCAUCCAGCAGCACUUCCAGGACCUUCUGGUCCAGAGGCGUGCCAGCCUCCACAGUGUGCAGCUCUGGCUGCCAAUGCAAAGCCGCUACUAUCGAAGCCGGCUCUGAUGAUGACUCAAAAGCUGAUCUAUCUCCAUCCCAACGGGUUACCAUGGCAACCCCUCUGGCCUAAAAAGAGCUGGACCACAUGGGUUCCUCAGCAGCACCUUUCUGACAGGCGAAACACAAGCUGCUCCCUCCACAGGAUGGCUCCAUGUGCGACUGAGGCUGCCACGGGGCUUGGCAAGGGCUGAACUUCUGCUGGGGCUUCCCUGGGGCUGGGGCCUGUCUCCCCGUUCCUCUAAGUUCUUCUAAGUUCUGCUAAGCCUUCUGUCUGAUGUUUCUGUUCUUGUCAUGAACUUUCUCACGCACUUUUAUGUCGAUAAUUAUUGUUUUACGUUCUUUUCUGGAGGAGGAGAAAUUUGAUGAACUGUUGGUUUGACCAUUGGAGAAGUGGGACUGUCAUCUCCAAUCCACUGGC
This is a long non-coding RNA of Melospiza melodia melodia, 2232 nucleotides long. RefSeq lists it as uncharacterized. NCBI's taxonomy places the organism in Eukaryota, Metazoa, Chordata, Aves, Passeriformes, Passerellidae. The record is from RefSeq and is a predicted model, not a curated record. The transcript is spliced from 3 exons.